This 495-nucleotide ribosomal RNA is filed under the name uncultured bacterium. RNAcentral describes it as "bacterial SSU rRNA". It matches the Rfam family "Bacterial small subunit ribosomal RNA", at positions 8 to 498 of the family's 1533-position model. The record is from RNAcentral.
AGAGUUUGAUCCUGGCUCAGAUUGAACGCUGGCGGCAUGCCUUACACAUGCAAGUCGAACGGCAGCACGGGAGCAAUCCUGGUGGCGAGUGGCGAACGGGUGAGUAAUAUAUCGGAACGUACCUUUCAGUGGGGGAUAACGUAGCGAAAGUUACGCUAAUACCGCAUAUUCUGUGAGCAGGAAAGCAGGGGAUCUUAGGACCUUGCGCUGAUUGAGCGGCCGAUAUCAGAUUAGCUAGUUGGUGAGGUAAAGGCUCACCAAGGCGACGAUCUGUAGCGGGUCUGAGAGGAUGAUCCGCCACACUGGAACUGAGACACGGUCCAGACUCCUACGGGAGGCAGCAGUGGGGAAUUUUGGACAAUGGGGGCAACCCUGAUCCAGCCAUGCCGCGUGAGUGAAGAAGGCCUUCGGGUUGUAAAGCUCUUUCAGCCGGGAAGAAAACGCAUGGGUUAAUACCCUGUGUGGAUGACGGUACCGGAAUAAGAAGCACCGGCU